GUCGAGGCUGCCUCGUGUUAAACCAAGACAGUGCUCGCUGUUCCUCUCAAAAAAAAAGGCAGAGCUCGCUGUUAGAUCCAUGGAGGCGCCGGCGACUGGUUCCACCCGCGGCGAAGACAUGGAGGCCCACGGCUUGGAAUCCCUUCUAGAUGCAGUCGACAGGUGCGCAAGCCUGUUUGCCUCGGUCGUCCUUUUGCGUUUUAUUUGUGCAUUAUUCGCGAUUUUGUCCGCGGUAAAGCAACUCUGAGACGAUGAGAUACCAUGUUUCCACUGCAAGAGGAAUUCGUUGCAGAGCAACCAAAUCCGGCGCCCCUUGCUGUACUGCAGCGGGGUGGAGCGAUUUAGGAAUUGUGCAUCCGGCUGCGUACAGGACGUGGGGAACCGCAGAUCGCACAGAAGUGUCUGCCAGGCCAGGGGAAGGAAGAACACUACCCCGACGCAGUCCGCGCAGUCAACCGGGAAGGUUAACCCAGAGGCUCCAGGCUGUACGAAGAGGUUGAGGCUAGUCAGUGCUCCACUGGACAGAACCCCAUGCCUGUUGAGGAUGAGCACGUUGGAGAAAUUAAUUAGGCAGUAUGCAGAAGCUUUCUAAGUGUGUGAUUAAGCCUGAGUUGGGGAUAAGCUUUGACUCGCUAGGUGAACACUUCUACAACCUAUGUUCAUGGGAGAUCAGAACAGAGCCAUGGAGGACGCUAUCAAUAAAGUGUUCCCGGAUACUUCCAUAGUUACAUGAAAAUGUUCAGAAUGCACGCGGACCUUCUCAAUUUUGGAUUUAGACUGGACUGCAAGAUUAGGGUACUGAGCCCGAAGGUAGUUUGCAAACUCCAUCGGUCCUAGUUCCAGGACAGGCGAAGCGAGAUUCAUAUUUGUGACUUGUGGGAGUGGUGGGUGAAUGCCGGCACUUGCUGUACAGGGGAGGUGAGGCUUCGCCUAUGCAAGAAGAGGAUAUGAGGUUCCGGUAGAUUCUUUUUUCUUUUGAACUGGGCAUGCUCAUCUUAAUCGCUCAGCCCAAUAGCCACACGUAUGUGUGAGCUGGGCAAAACAUGUGUAUGAUAUCCAAAACAUGGUAUACACUCAAGUCGAAUGUCA
Triticum aestivum (bread wheat) is the source of this 1089-nucleotide long non-coding RNA. RefSeq lists it as uncharacterized. The record is from RefSeq and is a predicted model, not a curated record. NCBI's taxonomy places the organism in Eukaryota, Viridiplantae, Streptophyta, Magnoliopsida, Poales, Poaceae. The transcript has 3 exons.